RNAcentral lists this unclassified non-coding RNA (279 nucleotides) under plant metagenome. RNAcentral's name for it is "partial contains small subunit ribosomal RNA, internal transcribed spacer 1, and 5.8S ribosomal RNA". The record is from RNAcentral.
UUUCCGUAGGUGAACCUGCGGAAGGAUCAUUACCGAAUUGUUAAUCGGGUUGUUCCUUGUGUUCAAACGGUGACAUGUUCACGCUCGCUCUACACAUCCACACACACCCGUGCACCCUCCUUAUUUCUAUAGACUGGCGGACCCUCUCAACCUGCAGCAACGCUACGUCUGGAUACACCCUCUGUAAUAAACUCUGAUGGAAUGUAUACCACGCCUCACGCAAUACAUAACAGCUUUCAGCAACGGAUCCCUUGGUUCUCGCAACGACGAAGACCGCAC